RNAcentral lists this long non-coding RNA (251 nucleotides) under Mytilus galloprovincialis (Mediterranean mussel). Lineage: Eukaryota; Metazoa; Mollusca; Bivalvia; Mytilida; Mytilidae. The record is from RNAcentral.
CGUUCCCUGUAUGGAAUGGGAAAUUAUGAACUUUUCGGUCCGUACAGAAGACAUGUCGUAUCGUACCAAUGUUGGUUUUCCAAAACACAAGAACAGCGAGAAAGACUAUUUCGGAGACUGUUGAUCGACACAAAAUCCGUCUAAACCACAACUAUGUCUUCGUGCUCAGAUUUUGAAGUGCCAAAACCCCAGAAGCUUGCUCGUAAGCCUAACCAAAGGAAAAGACCAAGGACAGCACAUACACAGCCAAG